GCCGUGGGGAGCUGUGGUGGAGCUGUGGUGCUGCAUUGGUUGUCAUGUUGCGUUAGCGUGUAGCCUUUGCAUCAGUGUGUGGGUCCAAUGCAGGUCAUGGUGAGACUCCUGCAGAGUCCGACCCCGGCCGGUGGUGCCGACGGGUAGACACACUGACGCCCCGUCCGCCUGUAGGCUGCAGCUGCAGUACAUGGCCAACAUCCGAAGGCGAUGUAGAGCACAGAGGGUUCAGUGGACAGCCCAAGGAGCCAUCUUCAGCCCAGAGUGGGCAUGAACAACAUGGCCAGAACCACCUCGAACACGGUACCGUUGGCCCAGAAGAUCGGGAAUAUUCAAGGUCUCCUCUGCACCCCUGCAACAAGAAAUGAGGUUAACCUUAGAAAAAAACAAAAAAGAACAACUGAAAACGAGGACACCACGACGGCAUGCAGGGGCAGUUACAUUAUGGGAUGGUCAUGAUGCAGGUGUCCUAAAUGGUAAGGGGUCUGCCUAUCUCUGGCCCAGACCACCGCUCCAUGGUCCCACCCUGGUCCUACCCUGGUCCGACCCUGGUCCAAGGACGACUGGCCGACAUUGAGCAGGAAACAGAGGUGGUAAAACCUUUUGCAAACCAGCAUCACCAACAUGUACAGGCUGUACUCAGAGGUACGUUUUGAUUAUUAUUAUUAUUAUUAUUAUUAGUAGUAGUAGUAGUAGCAGUAUUAUUGAUCAUUGGGAGCAUUGGAAAUGUUGGUGUUACAAAUGAUGUAUUAUAAAUUAUUGAUUAAAGAUUGUAUUUAUAGAAAAGCAUACAGGUCAUGGCCCUCAGGGACAUUAUUGUUGUUCCGAUUUAUCCACAUGAAUGGAUAAAGUAUUAGUGGUUUGAGACGAGUGGAGUUAUUCUUGUUAUCCACUUUGUUCUCAAUCCAAAAGUUGCAAUGCUCUUUCAGUAAGCCAAGUAUGAUGACCUUGUAUCUAGUAUCUUGUACUUGUGGAUUUAAGGAGAUUUUAAAUGCAUGCAAACAAAACAACAUGGGCCCUUAAUGGUCUGAGAUUACAAAACAUUAACCAUUUAACCAUUUAAGUGUGAGUAUGUGUGUGUGCUUGUUAACCAUUUAAGUGUGAGAGUGUGUUUGUGUGUGUGUGUGUGUGUGUGUGUGUGUGUGUGUGUGUGUGUGUGUGUGUGUGUGUGUGUGUGUGUGUGUGUGUAUGUGUGUGUGUGUGUGUGUGUGUGUGUGUGUGUGUGUGUGUGUGUGUGUGUGUAUUAUGUUGAUCGCUGCAGCAAUGAUGCUCUAUUAUCAUGAUUGGUGUUUUUAAAAGGAUUGUGGGUUUGAUUUCACCAGUAGCAGAUA
RNAcentral lists this long non-coding RNA (1331 nucleotides) under Gadus morhua (Atlantic cod). Its description in RNAcentral is "lncRNA (ENSGMOG00000027668.1)". Lineage: Eukaryota; Metazoa; Chordata; Actinopteri; Gadiformes; Gadidae. The record is from RNAcentral.